This 596-nucleotide ribosomal RNA is filed under the name uncultured beta proteobacterium. RNAcentral's name for it is "bacterial SSU rRNA". It matches the Rfam family "Bacterial small subunit ribosomal RNA", at positions 329 to 916 of the family's 1533-position model. Lineage: Bacteria; Pseudomonadati; Pseudomonadota; Betaproteobacteria. The record is from RNAcentral.
CAGGUCACUCCUACGGGAGGCAGCAGUGGGGAAUUUUGGACAAUGGGCGCAAGCCUGAUCCAGCCAUUCCGCGUGAGUGAAGAAGGCCUUCGGGUUGUAAAGCUCUUUCGCAAGGGAAGAAAACUUAGCUAAUAACACUAGCUGAGGCUGACGGUACCUUGAUAAGAAGCACCGGCUAACUACGUGCCAGCAGCCGCGGUAAUACGUAGGGUGCGAGCGUUAAUCGGAAUUACUGGGCGUAAAGCGUGCGCAGGCGGUUUUGUAAGUCAGAUGUGAAAGCCCCGGGCUCAACCUGGGAACUGCGUUUGAAACUACAAGGCUAGAGUGUAGCAGAGGGGGGUAGAAUUCCACGUGUAGCAGUGAAAUGCGUAGAGAUGUGGAGGAAUACCAAUGGCGAAGGCAGCCCCCUGGGUUAACACUGACGCUCAUGCACGAAAGCGUGGGGAGCAAACAGGAUUAGAUACCCUGGUAGUCCACGCCCUAAACGAUGUCUACUAGUUGUUGGGAGAGUAAAAUCUCUUAGUAACGCAGCUAACGCGUGAAGUAGACCGCCUGGGGAGUACGGUCGCAAGAUUAAAACUCAAAGGAAUUGACGG